GGUAAUGUGGUCGAGAGGUUAAGGCGGUUGCCUGUAAAGCAAUUGGGAAACCAUCCUAGGUUCGAAUCCUAGCAUUACCA
This 80-nucleotide transfer RNA is filed under the name Pseudomonadota bacterium. RNAcentral describes it as "Proteobacteria bacterium (activated sludge metagenome) tRNA-Tyr". It matches the Rfam family "tRNA". From Rfam's summary of the family: Transfer RNA (tRNA) molecules are approximately 80 nucleotides in length. Their secondary structure includes four short double-helical elements and three loops (D, anti-codon, and T loops). The record is from RNAcentral. Lineage: Bacteria; Pseudomonadati; Pseudomonadota.